AUAGCGCUUUGGGCAAAAAUUGAUGCUCAAUUAUGUAGCAUCUUGUGGCGUUCUAUUGAUUCUAAGUUGAUGCCUUUGUUUCGGCCAUUCCAGACAUGUUAUUUGGUUUGGGCAAAGGCUCGUACGUUAUACACUAAUGAUAUAUCUCGUUUCUAUGAUGUGAUAUCACGGAAGACAAACUUAAAGAAGCAAGAAUUAGAUAUGUCUACUUACUUGGGUCAGGUACAGGCAGUCAUGGAGGAAUUUGAGACAUUGAUGCCAGUUUCUGCUAGUGUGUCAAAACAACAAGAGCAGCGACAGAAAAUGUUUCUAGUUCUUACACUCGCUGGACUUCCUCAUGAUCUUGAUUCAGUACGAGACCAAAUUUUGGCGAGUCCGACUGUCCCUACAGUUGAUGAAUUAUUCUCUCGAUUACUUCGCCUUGCUGCAACACCAAGUCACCCAGUGAUUUCAUCACAGAUACUUGAUUCCUCUGUUCUUGCAUCCCAGACAGUGGAUGUUCGGGCAUCUCAAACUAUGGAGAAUAGACGAGGAGGCGGUUGUUUUGGGAGAUCUAGACCCAAGUGUUCUUAUUGUCACAAACUUGAACACACUCGCGAAAUGUGUUAUUCCUUAAAUGGCCGUCCACCCAAAAAUGCCUACGUUGCUCAGAGCGAGACUGCAGGUAACCAGGGCUUUUCUGUAUCUAAAGAAGAAUAUAAUGAGCUCCUUCAGUAUCGAGCAAGUAAGCAAACAUCUCCACGAGUAGCCUCAGUUGCCCAGACUGAUACUCCUAUUGCUAGUAAUUCUUUUGCUUGUGUUUCCCAGUCUAGUACUCUUGGACCAUGGGUCAUGGACUCGGGCGCUUCUGAUCACAUCUCUGGUAAUAAAUCACUUUUGUCGAAUAUUGUAUAUUCACAGUCUCUUCCUACUGUUACUUUAGCCAAUGGAUGUCAAACUAAGGCACAAGGAGUUGGACAAGCCAACCCAUUGUCUUCUAUCACCCUAUAUUCCGUUCUUUAUGUUCCUGGUUAUCCUUUUAGUCUUGCAUCUGUUAGUCGUUUGACACGUGCCCUCAAUUGUGGUAUAUAUUUUAUUGAUGAUUCUUUUAUUAUGCAGGACCGCAGUACGGGACGGACAAUUGGUACAAGUCGUGAAUCAGAAGGUCUUUACUACCUUAACUCGCUCAGUCCUUCCACAACAUGUCUAGUUACAGAUUCUCCAGAUCUAAUCCACGUUUAGGACAUCCGAGUUUAUCCAAACUUCAAAAGAUGGUGCCUAGUUUAUCCAGUUUGUCUAGAUUAGAUUGUGAGUCGUGUCAGCUUGGGAAACAUACCCGAGCUUCCUUUACGCGUAGUGUUGGAGAGUCAUGCAGAGUCUGUUUUCUCCUUGGUUCAUUCUGGAUUUCGUUAUUUUGUUAGCUUUAUUGAUGAUUACUUAAGAUGUACUUGACUUUUCUUAAUGAAAGAUCGUUCUGAGUUAUUCUCUAUAUUCCAGAGUUUUUGUGCUGAAAUCAAAAACCAAUUUGGUGUCUCUAUCCGCAUUUUUCGCAGUGAUAAUGCCUUAGAAUAUGUAUCUUCUCAGUUUCAGCAG
Molecule: long non-coding RNA, 1572 nt
Filed under: Nicotiana tabacum (common tobacco)
Lineage: Eukaryota; Viridiplantae; Streptophyta; Magnoliopsida; Solanales; Solanaceae
Description: long non-coding RNA (NTAB_LNC017365)
Source: RNAcentral